RNAcentral lists this long non-coding RNA (1045 nucleotides) under Scleropages formosus (Asian bonytongue). Its description in RNAcentral is "lncRNA (ENSSFOG00015032033.1)". Lineage: Eukaryota; Metazoa; Chordata; Actinopteri; Osteoglossiformes; Osteoglossidae. The record is from RNAcentral.
UGCUGUAAUGUAACAAAUUAAAAUAUUAAAACCUGCCAAAACUUGUCCCUUGCAGCAUCUUCUGGAAGAUCAUUUUGCAGUUGUUCCCAGCACUGUGUAAAAACACAAGUUUUCCCUCCAAAAUGUUCCGCAGCCUCUGCCGAAUUUCACUUAUCAGCUCCAAACGAGUAAUUGUUUGUGUGGUUGUGACAAACAUACGUAUUAAACAUUGAUGUGCUCUGUGACACAACCAUCUAAUUGUAGUGUUUCUAAUUUCCAAACAUUGGUUCCUGUAGUCUUUAAGGAAAUCAAAAAACAUAUACCGUAUAUUUUAACAAAUCUCAAAUUUUAAUUUUUGAGAUGCUGCAGACUAGAUUUACUGUCUUAGACUUUGCCAUUAAAAUUCCACCAUAUCACUGAUCAUUUAUUAGGAAAUUUAUGCCAAAAUAGGCAUACCUUCAGAGGAAGCUCCUUCCCUAAGGGAAUUGUAGGGAAGCAUUUAUAUCCGCUGUGAUCUUAGAGGUACAUGUGUUAUUUUAGCUUCCUAUUGUACGCUGUUUCUUCAGUGUCUCGACAGGUCUCAGUUUGUCCCACUCAACUGAUCAUCCCUUUCUGAGAGCCAUCAGAAGAGCCCAGGAGACAAUCCGCUACAUGAGAAAAUCUUUAUGCAUUUGCAUCUCUUUGCGGAGCCUUACUGUAAACGCAAUAAGUCACACACCCAGGAAAGUGGGAUUUGACUGCUGGCCUGGAGCGGUGAGGGCGGCUCAAUAAAGACGCGCAGUGUGGGAUUUGAGAGGCACAGCUCCUGACUGACCAGAGCGCCCCGUAAGAGAAAAGUCCGCCGCGUUUUGAAGUGCAACCGCGAGCCGAUGGAGAACGCAGAAAUGUCAGCGUGGCCAGCUGUCUCCCCCGGGUUGGGACUCUUUAAAAUGCACCGUAGACCUCACUAAUGCUAAUGGCAACGACUGCUCCUGCUUUGCUACUAAGUGUUGAAUCUCUGCACCUGGAACGUCAGACAAAACUCAUUAUGACGCUGAAACCCGUGGACGUUUACGCACCGUAAAGC